Vicugna pacos (alpaca) is the source of this 3479-nucleotide non-coding RNA. The record is from RefSeq and is a predicted model, not a curated record. NCBI's taxonomy places the organism in Eukaryota, Metazoa, Chordata, Mammalia, Artiodactyla, Camelidae.
UCUGGGGCGAGGCCUGGGCCUGAGGGCGGGGCGGGGCUUGGCGGCUGGGCGAGGCCAGGAGGAGCGCGACUUCCAGUCGCGCCAGACGCUGUAGUCUGUCAGCUCCGAGCUACAUGUGGAGCAAAGUUUCAGGGCGAGGCCACCAAGGGGCUCCUGAGGAAGACUGACCCUUGAGGAGGGUCCCUCCCAAGGCCAGAAGGCAGAGGGUCUGGAGAGCAGCAAGUUCCCUUGAAGAAGAGCCAGAGACUGGCGGCUCUGGAAGCCCUGACAUCAGGUCACAGCUUUCCCAGUCAGGUGAGUGUUUUUGUAUCAAUCCCUUGAGUCCUAUCCCCAUGCCAGGAACCCAAGGAAGCCAGAGAGAAAGAGGGGCUUGCAAAGGAAAACACAUGUACAUCUUCCCCCUAGUGGAAUAUCAGGCUGUUAGAUGGUCAGUAAAGGACACUUAACUCUACCUAGCCUAGUUCAGAAACCAAUGAAGAAGAUACAGCAAUAAGAUGAAUAUAUAGCAAAUACCAGCCUUGCUACAGAAAAAAGGCUAGUCUGGAGGAUGUGGUUUAGAUGGACAAUCAAGAGCACUAGUUACUUCCACCCAUAAAUCAGACACCGAUACUUCCUAGUCUCUGCCCCAGGGGUAAAACUGCAGCCUCCACAGAGCUGCUGCAUCAAGCACGCGCAGCCAAGUGCAAAUGGGAACACGCCUGUCAGCCUGCUGACCCCAGAGAGUGUACCAAGAGGAGACUGAGCACACUUGACCUUGUCUGUUCUCCAAAAUUCACCAAUUCACACUUCCCUGGGAGUGUAAAAAAGGCUGGAAAUUUUUCUCCAGGGAUGUCCCACCAUGUGGAAACACAAAGCGUAGGAGUAACGGUUCCACGUGGACAUCUCAAACUCUUGACUCUGGCAGAGCUAAGGAAGGAAAGAGGUUUCAACUGAAGCAGAGUUUGAGUUUGGGUAUUUUACUGGACUGGACUUUUAUGAGCAAAAUGAUGAUUCUCUUUUUUUAAUUUCUGAGAAGAAAAGGGAAAAACUGUAAGAUCUAUCUGAGAAGUCACAGAUAAGAUUUUCUGGGGACAGUCAUGAGAAAAAACAAUGCUUCUCUCUACUUGCACCCUACCAAUUCCAACUUGUUCAAUAAACAGGACACAGAAGACUCUGAGGUUCUUGGCAUGGACAACUGGGCAUAUUUACUAAAAUAGAGGUUUGGAGGAAAUUGUCAACUUAGGUUAGGAACAUGUUAAGACAGAGAUACCCAUAAAACAUUUAAGUAGACAGGUUGAGUGGGCUGGUGUUCAAGAGAGAGGACAAGACUAGAGAGAGGAAUUUGAGAGUCAUCUGUUUUCAGGUGAUGUUUGAAAACAGUAUUGGAUGAACUCAACUAGGGAGUGAAUAUUCCAAACAGAAGAAUUUCCAGGAUGAGCCUUGGGACACCAACCAUUUCCAGUCUAGAGAGGAAGGAGUGGCCAGAGCGAAGAGAAAAAGUAGGGGAAUGUGGAGUUAGGGAAGCCAGUGAAGACAAAGGUGAUCUGUGCAGAGGUUUUAAAAGGAUUGUAAAAUGAGGUCAGAGAAUUGGUGACUAGAUGUGGAAAGACAGUUUACUAGUGACUGACAAGAGCAUCUCAGGAGAUGUGAGGAGAAAAUCCUAGUGGCAGUUAAAAAGGGUGGAGAGGAUUUCCAGUUAAACAUGUUAGACUGAGCACAGGCAUUGACUUCUAUUUCCCACCUAAACUAGACUUACGUAAAGUAAUAAAAGAGAUAAAAACACACAGUGAAAGAAUGGGAGUGGAAGCACCAGUAAACAAGAGAGGUCAACAAAAUAUAGAGGCUGGAAAUGUAAGGAGGAGUGAUAACUGACUUAACAAGCCAGAGAAAGCUGAAACCCAUGUGUAGGGGUGAAGCGAUUAAGAAAAGAGACCCCUCUUGCAAGUGAACCCCAGGAAGGUGCAGAAAUUAGAACUGGUGAAAAGUUUGAAUAAGAAGCAGUGUGACAACAGAUCCCUUCCCCUACCUGCAUGGAAGCCUACAACAGUUGAGUAGAGCAGGUGUGAACUCAGGCACAAGACACAGCUGAGGGCCACUGAAAGCAGGGGAGUUGAGUGAAAGUCUACAUUCAUGUGGGAGUCCCACUUCUCCCACUCAGCUAUAUAUCUUCAGGCAAUAGAAGGAGGAUUUCUCUGGUGAAAAUGGCUCCCACAAAAGACCUGCAAACAUUGGCAACUGGGACCCAGCAGAAAAGCAGAAAAGCCUAUCAGCCGGCAGGCUGUAUCUGUUAGCAUAGAGCAUCCAGCAAGCUCUUCAGAGCCCCAUCAUCAACAGGAGCCAGACAUUUGAGGAAAAUCUCUACCAUGAAAGACAAGAAAACAUAGAGAAAAAGGAAAUUUUUUUAAAAUGGAGGCGAUUGAAAGUUAUGGAAGACGAUUUUGGCGAAACAUGUCCUCACGUUUUGGAUGUUAUACACAUGAAACAAGAACCAUCUGACAUACUCUUUCCCUCCCUGCCUUAUUUUUCUGCUUAUCAUCAAUUAGCAUGCCAAGUGUUUUGCAUAUUUAUCUUGUUUAUUGACUAUCGCUCCAUUAAAAUAUAAGCGCUAUUCAUUUGUUGUCAUAUCCCCAAUACUUGGAAUAAUGCCUGGCACAUAGUGAAUACUCCAAAAUUAUAUACUGAGUGAAUGAAUGAAUGAAUGAAUAGGGUUCUCUAAAUAAGAAACAUUAUGGGAAAAAACUCAAAAAUUAAAAAUAUGGCAUCAGUUUUUUAAAAAAAAUUUUUAACUUUUUAAAUUGAAAUAUAGUUGGUGUACAAUAUUAUAUAAGUUACAGGUGUACAAUAUAGUGAUUCAUAAUGUGGCAGCAGUUUUAAAGUCACUAGAGCAGGGAGAUAAAAUAGAGGAAUUUUAGGACAGUAGAAUAAAAAGAUAAAGAUAUUAAAAAUUGAAAAGAGAAGGGUCAGGAUGGCUGAGUAGAAGGAUGCUCAUACCUUACCCUCUCCCACCAAUACACCAAGACUGACAUCCACAGACCCACCCAUCCAAUCAGAACACCUGCUGAACUUUGACAGAACAUUGCCUUCUUCAAAAGACAAAAUAUGCCACUCAUCUGAUAGGACAAAAGUAAAAAAGAAGGAAGAAAAAGGAAAAUAGUGCAGGUCUGGUCCCAUGGAGAGGGAGCGGCAAAGGAAGAAUAGCUCUCAUUCACUGGGUCUCCCCUUCUCCAAUGAAGAGUCAGCAGGAUGGCAGGGGAAUCUCCUAGGCUUGGAUCUGUACAGAAUAGCCCUUGACAAACAGAACUAAGUUAAAUGGGCACUAAGGAUCCCCGCAGCUCCCAGCCCUAGAUGCGAACUGGCAGGUGUGGGAGGAGACAGACUGCUCGAGCCUGGCGGAGGACUCCAGCAGUCUGUACAGAGGCAACCUUGGGGGACUGCAGUGUGCUGUGCGCCAUUGCUGGGAGGGUAUACAGAUCAGAACAACCUGGGUCCCUCAUAAAAUA